UGUGAUGGUCGCGCAGUUGCGUCAAAUUUUUGACGAGGAAAGUCCGGACUCCAUACAGACAUGAUGCUGGAUAAUCUCCAGCGGAGCAUCGUUAAGGAUGUUUUAGGGAAAGUGCAACAGAAAGAUACCGCCAUUAAUUUGGUAAGGGUGAAAUGGUGUGGUAAGAGCGCACCGGGUUUCUUGGUGACAAGAACCGCUUGGCAAACCCCAUCAGGAGCAAAAUCAAAUAGGUGUAAUCGAACUUAAAAUUUUAUUUUAAGUUCCUAGUUGUCUGUAACUAGAUAUUAUACGGGUAGGUUGCUUGAGGUAAAUGGUAACAUUUAUCCUAGAUAAAUAACUGCGGUAGCUUUGGCUAUACAGAAUCCGGCUUAUAGACCAUCAACUUCU
Molecule: RNase P RNA, 387 nt
Filed under: Rickettsiaceae bacterium
Lineage: Bacteria; Pseudomonadati; Pseudomonadota; Alphaproteobacteria; Rickettsiales; Rickettsiaceae
Description: RNase P RNA component class A
Rfam family: Bacterial RNase P class A
About the family: Ribonuclease P (RNase P) is a ubiquitous endoribonuclease, found in archaea, bacteria and eukarya as well as chloroplasts and mitochondria.
Source: RNAcentral